AAAUUGAAGAGUUUGAUCAUGGCUCAGAUUGAACGCUGGCGGCAGGCCUAACACAUGCAAGUCGAGCGGAAACGAGUUAUCUGAACCUUCGGGGGACGAUAACGGCGUCGAGCGGCGGACGGGUGAGUAAUGCCUAGGAAAUUGCCCUGAUGUGGGGGAUAACCAUUGGAAACGAUGGCUAAUACCGCAUGAUGCCUACGGGCCAAAGAGGGGGACCUUCGGGCCUCUC
This 229-nucleotide ribosomal RNA is filed under the name Escherichia coli. Its description in RNAcentral is "partial 16S ribosomal RNA". It matches the Rfam family "Bacterial small subunit ribosomal RNA", at positions 1 to 218 of the family's 1533-position model. Lineage: Bacteria; Pseudomonadati; Pseudomonadota; Gammaproteobacteria; Enterobacterales; Enterobacteriaceae. RNAcentral also lists the same sequence under 3 other names. The record is from RNAcentral.